RNAcentral lists this ribosomal RNA (441 nucleotides) under uncultured bacterium. RNAcentral's name for it is "partial 16S ribosomal RNA". It matches the Rfam family "Bacterial small subunit ribosomal RNA", at positions 338 to 795 of the family's 1533-position model. The record is from RNAcentral.
CCUACGGGAGGCAGCAGUGGGGGAUAUUGCACAAUGGGGGAAACCCUGAUGCAGCGACGCCGCGUGUGGGAAGACGGUCCUCUGAUUUGUAACUCACUGUCUUCAUGAAGGAUAAUGACGGUAGCUGAGGAGCAAGCUACGGCUAACUACGUGCCAGCAGCCGCGGUAAUACGUAGGGGGCAAGCGUUGUCCGGAAUUACUGGGUGUAAAGGGAGCGCAGGCGGGACGCUAAGUUUGCUGUUAAAACUACGGGCUUAACUUGUAGCCCGCAGUUGAAACUGGAGUUCUUGAGUGAAGUAGAGGCAGGCGGAAUUCCGAGUGUAGCGGUGAAAUGCGUAGAUAGUAGGAGGAACACCAGUGGCGAAGGCGGCCAGCUGGGCUUUAACUGACGCUGAGGCUCGAAAGUGUGGGGAGCAAACAGGAUUAGAUACCCCUGUAGUC